This 440-nucleotide ribosomal RNA is filed under the name uncultured bacterium. RNAcentral describes it as "partial 16S ribosomal RNA". It matches the Rfam family "Bacterial small subunit ribosomal RNA", at positions 338 to 795 of the family's 1533-position model. The record is from RNAcentral.
CCUACGGGAGGCAGCAGUGGGGAAUAUUGCACAAUGGGGGAAACCCUGAUGCAGCGACGCCGCGUGAGUGAAGAAGUAUUUCGGUAUGUAAAGCUCUAUCAGCAGGGAAGAAAAUGACGGUACCUGAUUCAGAAGCCCCGGCUAACUACGUGCCAGCAGCCGCGGUAAUACGUAGGGGGCAAGCGUUAUCCGGAUUUACUGGGUGUAAAGGGAGCGUAGACGGCAGCACAAGUCUGGAGUGAAAUGCCGGGGCUUAACCCCGGAACUGCUUUGGAAACCGUGCAGCUAGAGUGCAGGAGAGGUAAGUGGAAGGCCUAGUGGAGCGGUGAAAUGCGUAGAUAUUAGGAGGAACACCAGGGGCGAAGGCGGCUUACUGGACUGUAACUGACGUUGAGGCUCGAAAGCGUGGGGAGCAAACAGGAUUAGAUACCCCAGUAGUC